Phragmites australis (common reed) is the source of this 608-nucleotide long non-coding RNA. RefSeq lists it as uncharacterized. The record is from RefSeq and is a predicted model, not a curated record. Lineage: Eukaryota; Viridiplantae; Streptophyta; Magnoliopsida; Poales; Poaceae. The transcript is spliced from 5 exons.
AGAAUCCUCACCACCGCCUUUGUCCAUGUUUCUCGCACCCGUGAGACGAUCCCCGCGAGCUCCUCAACCAUCUGAAGCCAGAGGAAAUAACGAACAACUCUACGGGUUUCAGGAGCUGAAUCAUUGAGGUUGCAAUUGGUAGUACUAGAGAAUCAAUGACACAUUCUCUUGAAGAAAAUGAAGCUACUUCUAAUCCUGAAAAUGUCACCAGAACAUCUCACAGCAAAAAAACACAGGCAAAGAGACAAUUGUUCAAAGCCUAAAGCCUGUUAACAGAACUACCUUGGAAGUAGCUUAUAUAUUCUCCAAAUCAGAUGCUUAGUGCCAAUCUUUUUUGGAUUACUUGAAGACAGCCUACUCAUGUGUAUGCAUUUAAAAACUCCAUGCUUGGAAUGAAGCUGAGCCUGGCGUUUGUUGAUUAAAAAAAUCAUGUAACCUUUCUUAUAUUUCCAUAUUACGAAUGACUAUAACAAAACAUACAGACGACACAAUUAUCUAUACGCGCGCAGCGAAGCGCGCGAAUCUGGCUAGUAUACAUAAAUCGACCCACUCGUCAACGGAGUCAAUGAGACAUUACAUUUUUUUUUCUUUUGGCGAUCGAGGAGUGA